This 532-nucleotide unclassified non-coding RNA is filed under the name Hevea brasiliensis (rubber tree). The record is from RNAcentral. Lineage: Eukaryota; Viridiplantae; Streptophyta; Magnoliopsida; Malpighiales; Euphorbiaceae.
GACUUAAGAUUCCCAACAGUAAGUCAGAACUCGGGAUCAAUCAUUUUCAUUGUAUCCUCAAUUCUUCUUUUAUUGUUACUUUCUGAAUGGCUAUCAGGAAGCUUCUUUCUAUGGUUCUAAUUUGAUAAGCUUGAUAUAUGGUUCUGUUGAUAUCCAAUUGCAUAUUGUUUAUGUUGAGUUGGAGGUCACCGCAAAUAUGUCUAGUCCUGUAAUUGAUUCUUUGUGUUUUAAAGAAAAUCUUUCAAGGUUUUCUGUUUCUUCAUCUAAUAUCUGAAUCUGACAUAUUAUGUAUCAGUCUCUUCUGCAUUUGCACACUUUUUAAAAAAAAAAAAAUUCAAAAUGAACAUUGAUUUGAUAUCCUGAAAAUUCAUAAGAACAUUUUCCCUCCUUUGUUUUGUUUGAGACUAGCAGCAACAUGUUAUUUUUGUGUGGGAAACAGCAUAUCUUUAUAUGUAUAUGUAUUGCCCAUAUGCUUUGUUUUUGGUACUUCCUAAUUUUCAAAAUGUUGCAGGAUAAUUACUUGUUGGAGCUU